AGCUCUUUUUCUCCAAUAGACUACACAUCUUUUAUUCUUGUUCUUGAGGCUUUUGAAUCAGGUAUUGAUGAAAUUAUGAUUUUGCCCCUGAAAUGCAAUAAGUCUUUUUCCAAGCCAAGAUCAUUAGUAAUCCCCUCAAAUGCUUUGUAAUCAUCAAAAUUAAUUCAAGGAGCAACAUCAGUAGAUCUGACAUCCAACUGAUUAAAUUAGGUCGGCACAUCAAUAUGUCUAACUAUCCU
RNAcentral lists this long non-coding RNA (239 nucleotides) under Elaeis guineensis (African oil palm). RNAcentral describes it as "long non-coding RNA (EGUI_LNC080897)". Lineage: Eukaryota; Viridiplantae; Streptophyta; Magnoliopsida; Arecales; Arecaceae. The record is from RNAcentral.